Molecule: long non-coding RNA, 1014 nt
Organism: Teleopsis dalmanni
Lineage: Eukaryota; Metazoa; Arthropoda; Insecta; Diptera; Diopsidae
Exons: 3
Source: RefSeq, a predicted model, not a curated record
GUUUACAUGAAAUUAAUUUGACACAAUAAAUCCCAGCAUAAGCAAACAAUAAUGGCAAUUUAAAUAUGGCAAUCCGAUGGUAAUGUCGAAGCUUUUCAUUCAAGUGAUGUAAUAUGACUAUGACAGAAGCGAAGGAUUGUUGUGUUGUGUCAAUGGAACGACGAGUAGAGAACUUUUCAGUGCAUCACCACAGCACCAUUAAUUGAAAUGAUAUAAGAAUCUAAUUAAAAAUACAGCUCAGUUUCGAAGAAAUCUCAAUAUUUACGCGAAAGAAUUUCAUAUGAUAACAAUAAUUCAAUGCCGUUUUAAAUAUUUUUAAAUUUAUUAAAAAUUGCCUUAAUUAUUGCCUUAAUGAAAGAGAAAAACUCUCGUUUGGGAUAUAAGUAAUGUGGAUGCCACGCCACUUCAACAAAUAUAGCAAAUCGUAAUGUCUGACGUUAUGUUGUGACGACUAUAAAAAAAUAUGUGUGAAUAUGUAUCUUUCGAAUGAUAUAGUUAACAUACAAAAUUAUGACAAGUGACAAGUAUCAAAUUUUCAAAGGAAAAGUAAUAAAUAAUGGCAAACGGCAAACGGCACCGAUACUCGUGUAUACAUUUUGCGUACCAAUGUGAAGACAAUGAGCCCGUGAUGAGCUCAAAUAAUCAUAUCAGAUGUGAAAUGCGCACGUUUUUGUGUUUGUUUAAAUUUUAUGCACGGAUAAUUGGAAACACUUGUUACACUUUAGGAGAGAGAAAUUUUUGCUACGCAAUUAAAAGAAAGUUGUUAAAAAUACUUUUUUGGAAACAUUUUUUCUGCCUGUUUUGCCACAUGUUUUUAAGUAAUUAAGUAGUCCUUAGAAACCGGCUGAAACACUUAAAAAUAUAAAAGAAAAGAAAUUUAUUAAGGGCUGUCGGUUUGUAAUAAAAUAUGUAUCUCAGUGAUGUACAUUGUUUAAGCAUUUUGAAGAUUUUAUGAGUUUUAGAAGUUGGAAUAUUGCAAAAUGAUCAAAUGCAAGGGUCGUAUGAUAAGCCUGA